Molecule: ribosomal RNA, 498 nt
Filed under: uncultured bacterium
Lineage: Bacteria
Description: partial 16S ribosomal RNA
Rfam family: Bacterial small subunit ribosomal RNA
Source: RNAcentral
AUUGAACGCUGGCGGCAUGCCUUACACAUGCAAGUCGAACGGUAACAGGUCUUCGGAUGCUGACGAGUGGCGAACGGGUGAGUAAUACAUCGGAACGUGCCCGAUCGUGGGGGAUAACUACUCGAAAGAGUAGCUAAUACCGCAUAAGAUCUACGGAUGAAAGCGGGGGAUCUUCGGACCUCGUGCGGACGGAGCGGCCGAUGGCAGAUUAGGUAGUUGGUGGGAUAAAAGCUUACCAAGCCGACGAUCUGUAGCUGGUCUGAGAGGACGACCAGCCACACUGGGACUGAGACACGGCCCAGACUCCUACGGGAGGCAGCAGUGGGGAGUUUUGGACAAUGGGCGAAAGCCUGAUCCAGCAAUGCCGCGUGCAGGAUGAAGGCCUUCGGGUUGUAAACUGCUUUUGUACGGAACGAAAAGACUCCUUCUAAUACAGGGGGUCCAUGACGGUACCGUAAGAAUAAGCACCGGCUAACUACGUGCCAGCAGCCGCCGUAA